This 828-nucleotide long non-coding RNA is filed under the name Equus caballus (horse). Its description in RNAcentral is "lncRNA (ENSECAG00000057626.1)". Lineage: Eukaryota; Metazoa; Chordata; Mammalia; Perissodactyla; Equidae. The record is from RNAcentral.
GGCAGACCCCUGGGCUAACAGGCCAAGGGAUGAACCUCAAUGGCGCCCACUGGGGUCUGUGUCAGCAUGCCUGGACCAGUUCAGAACAAUGGCCCCCACCAAUGUCUCAGUCUCUGAAGAGGUCCCUCCGCUCACCAAGAGGCCCCCAGAGCCCACCAGGCGAACAAGCUUUCCAGUCUGGCAUGGAAGAAGCUUAGAAGUCGCCACUCCAUCCUAACAACAAAUAAAAAGAUGAAAAAUCAACAGCUCUUCUUAGAUUCAUCAGAGAAGUGACGUCGCAGGGCAAACCACUGUCCCCCAAAAUUGGGAGAACUGACAGAUUAGUCCUGAGCUAACUACUGCCAAUCAUCCUCCUUUUGCUGAGGAAGACCAGACUUGAGCCAACAUCCAGGCCCAUCUUCCUCCACCUUAUACCUGGGACGUCUACCACAGCAUGUUUUUUUGCCAAGUGUUACCACGUCCGCACCCGGGAUCCGAACUGGCACACCCUCGGCUGCCAAGAAGAGGAACAUGCGAACUUAACCGCUGCACCACUGGACCAGCCCCAAUGCUUUUUAAUAUAAUCAUGUGCCUCAUAAUGACAUUUCAGUCAAUGAUGUACUGCGUAUAUGACAUUGGUCCCAUAAGAUUAGUACCGUAUAGCCUAGGUUUGUAGUAGGCUAUACCUAGGUUUGUGUAAGUACUAUAUACCUAUAUCUAGGUUUAUAUAAGUACUAUAUGGAAGGAAGAAGUUUCCCUCUACUGUUCUAGGUUCUUCUGGUUGGUCUAAGAAUUAAAUUGACAUGAAAAAGAUUAACAAGAGAAAAACAAAAGUUUAAUAACAUGCAU